RNAcentral lists this long non-coding RNA (3481 nucleotides) under Sorghum bicolor (sorghum). Its description in RNAcentral is "long non-coding RNA (SBIC_LNC015875)". Lineage: Eukaryota; Viridiplantae; Streptophyta; Magnoliopsida; Poales; Poaceae. The record is from RNAcentral.
UACCUUUGAGACAUGCUUAAUUGAUUAAAUACUAAUCACACUACUUCACCUCCACUUGAGUAGAUCUCUAUAAAUGCCAUCACGCUACCUUUGUUUAUCCUAGUAAGUGUUAGUUUGGAAGUACUGCACAUACUUCUAUUGGCUUUUAAAUUAAGCAUGGUGCUUAGGUUAAAUAGCCUUCCUUAAUCUGAUUAGACAUGGAGUCUAGUUCGGUUAUUGAACUAAAAACUGCUUGUGUAGACAUUGGUAUAUUUUGUCGGACUAACCCAUGUAGAAAAACUUUCAAUAUCAAUUUGGGAAGUCCUAAUAUACACUCACAUCGGAGCUGAAGAGAGAGACACAUGAAGUUUAACAAUUUGCACAAGAAGGACAUAGCUCAAUCAUCAUAGAGAGAUGAUCCAUGGAAGGAGACAAAGUACAUAAGCAAGAUACACAGCCACUACGAAUGGGAAGCUUCCUCAAGGUGAGAUGGUACCAUCACGCUUCAAUUAAGGUAACAUCUUAAGAUAUGUGACUAUCACUUUUAUAAUCUUCUCCUUGGUUCUAGCGUUCACAUAAAUAAAGAGACAAACAUGUAUGAUCUGUAACUCCAAAUUAACCAACCCAACUGAGUCAGCAUGUUUAGUCCUUUAAUAUUUGUUCCUAGUACUACCUCCAUGAUCCCACACUCCUAAUCAUAUGAGCUAAAAUGUUGCACAUUCAAUCUUUGGGAAGAUAUAAAGAAAAAGACAUAUACAUAGAUAGAUUAUCUUUCCAUAAGGUUGAACGAUCUGAUCUGACAAAUGUUUUAAAUGCUACACUCAUGAACUCAUCACCCAUCAACUUUGUCUUGCUCCCUAUGCUUAAAGAUAGAGAAGAAUAAAUAUACUUUUGGUUCUGUUGGUGUUAUCCACCAACAGGACCCAUGCACUUGAUCUCUGUCUUGUCUCUAUGAGCAGGACAUAUUUUGACAAACAUGGAGGAUUUUUCAACUCCCAGACUCUACCAAGUGAAGGACGUGGAUCUACGAGGACAAACACACUGAGCAAGAUACUACCAACGCCGCACUUCGAACUGCUGGGCAAACGAAGAACAUGGGUGACACCGUAUCAAGAGGUGCAAACGUCAAGGUCCACACCUGAAUCAAAUGACGCACCUAAAGAGUUAACACGGCGAGAAGUCUUGUUCAGAAGACUUAAAACAUUGAACCCUCGCUGAAAGGUAAAAUUAGUAGUUAUCCAUAUUUAUCCUUUCUGCAUUCCCUUUUCCCUUAAAUUAUUGACUUUCCUUAAUAGUUUGUUAGUUAAUCAUGCUAUCUUGAAAAGAAAUUUAAAAUAUUAAAAACAGUAAGCCCCAUGUGAGUAUGCUCAUGGCAUAAAACCCAUAAGUACAUUCACUGUGGUGGCGCAAAAAUAAAAAUAUUUCUAUCCUAUAAAAAUGAAAAUAUAAAAAUAAAUUUGUUGUCUAUUUGAGCUCCACAGAAUUCAAGGAUCAAAGAAGACUAGCAGACGAAGGACAUCCUAAUCGCUGUCAGGGUGCUGCCGACAUUCAAAUAUACCUCCGCCACCUGCUAGCUACAUCAAAAAAAAUUACAUCAAAAUCCAGCUUAGGGGAGAGUACCCCCAUUUAUCUAGCUAAGUGUUUCUACUCGCGUUUAUACUUUACUCCAAUAAUAAAAAGAUGCAUAAUCAUAAAAACCCAAAUAAAGAUUUUAUGCUUAUAUAUAUCUUUGCUUAGUUUGCUAAAUAAAUAAAUAAAUAAAGUUUGCUAUAAACCCUCAGUAUAAGCUCUCACAUGGAAAUGAUGAAUAGUUGUUUUACCAUGACUACUUCUCAAAAUUGAAUUCUCUCUCAAGUUUAGGCAUGACUAUUAUGAAUAAAGAUUUGCUCUAAACCUGAACUUGUGGGAAGAGUACUUGAUCUAAAGUCUAAGUCGUUAACGGAUAUGAUAUGGGAAGGUUGAGCAUCUGUUUAUCUGUUCCUAGAGAUGCUAGAAUUCUGAAGAAUUUUAUCUUUGAAAAUCUUUAAAAUGUUGCAUGAUGAGUUCCUGUAUGACGAGAGUUUAAAAUCUUACCACAGCCAUAUAUACAUGCUUAUUAGACUACGAACCAUACAUUUUCUUUUUACUGCUUAUGAGCAUUGAGUUUGGUCAAGCUGUGUAGACCCUUAAGAGCUUGUCAUGCGGUUAAAAUCAAGAUUCACUUGCACGUUCACUCAUACAUGCUGCUUCUACUCCGGAAGUACGCAUCCACAUACAUCCACUCAUUUCCAUCUCUAGAUUCACCCAAAAUUAUUCUACUCCUAUCCAGGAGAGAAUAGCCAAAAACAUUAUCCUAUCCCUGUUAUUCCCCGUGAAAUAAAUGCUCGAGAUAUUUUGGUUACUACCACUUGCUACAUUAUUCUAGGAGGGUGAGUGCUGUGAAAAAAAAGUAAAAAUGAGGAAAUAAAAAGGGGCAAGUGCCCGGAACCUCGAAGAAAAGAAAAAGUGAGAUGAGAGGUAAAAAUGGACAAGUGUCCGAUAGUAGAAUUAGGGGUACAAGAUACCCACCUGAGAGAAAAGAAAAACAAAAUAUAGAGCAUCUCAUUCCCCUCAAAAAGCAUCAAAGUGCAAGAAAGGUAUGUAUCCCCUCAAAAGAGCAAAAGUAGAAUUAGACCUUCACCAUUGUUUUCACCAUUAUCACCAUCAUAACCAUAUACCAUUCAUUCGCCACACAUGCACAUCUUGAUUUGACUUAUUGACUUGUUUCUCUGGAUCCAUGGUUUGACUAUGCAAUAAAUGUCUUGUAAGUAUGUAUUAGCUGUCUCCCACCUAUGAGCUCCAGAUAUCAAAACCUUAUUAGAGUAGGGUGAGAGAGAAGGCAAUGUCACUAUGCCUCAUAUCAAAAAAAAUGCCACAUGCUUUGAGAGAAGGCAUAUACCAUCACUGCCUUGGUAAGGAUCCAGAAAUACCACAAAAGAGAGAUUUGAGAGAGUCAUACAAAGGAAUCUCUAAGUUUUAUUUGAAAAUCUACAAAAACUCCAGAGCUAUAGUUGAUCAAGAACAAGAGACAUGUCGCUUGACUUGACCGUUCUAUCUUUUAACUGCACAAGACACAAGUGACGGUUGCAAGCCCCAUGGUGGAAGGUAAUAUGAGUAAGUUUAAAUCUUAACAGUUUACCCUAACCCAGAGAUGAGAUCUUGUUUGAACGCAUGUGUACCAUUAAGGCAUGAAACCACUGCAGAAACUCUUGAGUCCAUCCUUGCUCAGGGACAAGCAAGAGGUAAGCUUGGGGGAGUUGUUGACGGUCCUUAACUAUCAAAUUUAAUCAUUAAAUAAAUAAAGAAAAGGAUCCAAAUGCAACCAACACCCUUAGGGUUUUAUUUGACAGAAUUCCACGAGUUUUGGUGUUUGUCUAUUUCGGCAGAGGGGUUAUCAGGAAAUAUGGAGGAAAGGCCCACACGUCUGGUUUACAUAGAGAUAUUAACGUGUGCGGCAAUUUUCUCUCAUCUAGAAGACUCCAGA